AUUGAACGCUGGCGGCAUGCCUUACACAUGCAAGUCGAACGGCAGCACGGACUUCGGUCUGGUGGCGAGUGGCGGACGGGUGAGUAAUGCAUCGGAACGUGUCCUAAAGUGGGGGAUAACGCAUCGAAAGAUGUGCUAAUACCGCAUAUUCUCUGAGGAGGAAAGUAGGGGAUCGAAAGACCUUAUGCUUUUGGAGCGGCCGAUGUCUGAUUAGCUAGUUGGUAGGGUAAUGGCUUACCAAGGCGACGAUCAGUAGUUGGUCUGAGAGGACGACCAGCCACACUGGGACUGAGACACGGCCCAGACUCCUACGGGAGGCAGCAGUGGGGAAUUUUGGACAAUGGGCGCAAGCCUGAUCCAGCCAUGCCGCGUGAGUGAAGAAGGCCUUCGGGUUGGUUAAAG
This 402-nucleotide ribosomal RNA is filed under the name uncultured bacterium. RNAcentral's name for it is "bacterial SSU rRNA". It matches the Rfam family "Bacterial small subunit ribosomal RNA", at positions 30 to 430 of the family's 1533-position model. The record is from RNAcentral.